ACCAUUUAUAUUUUAUACGAUAACUCCGCAUAUAUAAGACGUGCGCGUCUUAUGUAAGUUGCGACUUAUAUUGUCCCGUAUACAGUGUAAAUGGCCCUGAUAUCUUGGUCUGUGUUAAUUAGCCUCUAUACAUGCAUGCAUUUACUAAACUUUGGUUAAUUAAACUGUCACAAUUGUUUUUUUAACUAGACAGAGUUCUAGGGUGGUCAUGGGGCAUGCUCUCCACAGAAUUUUGAAAUCUAGAGGUCUGAAAUGG
This is a non-coding RNA of Paramuricea clavata, 256 nucleotides long. NCBI's taxonomy places the organism in Eukaryota, Metazoa, Cnidaria, Anthozoa, Malacalcyonacea, Plexauridae. The record is from the annotation of a GenBank genome assembly.